This 250-nucleotide ribosomal RNA is filed under the name uncultured bacterium. Its description in RNAcentral is "partial 16S ribosomal RNA". It matches the Rfam family "Bacterial small subunit ribosomal RNA", at positions 527 to 779 of the family's 1533-position model. The record is from RNAcentral.
CGGAGGUGCGAGCGUUGUCCGGAUUUAUUGGGUUUAAAGGGUGCGUAGGCGGCCGACUAAGUCUGGGUGAAGCCCGCUGCUCAACAGCGGAACUGCCCUGGAUACUGGUUGGCUUGAGUACAGACGAGGUUGGCGGAAUGGACGGAGUAGCGGUGAAAUGCAUAGAUACCGUCCAGAACCCCGAUUGCGAAGGCAGCUGACUAGGCUGUUACUGACGCUGAGGCACGAAAGCGUGGGAGCGAACAGGAUU